Euryarchaeota archaeon RBG_13_57_23 is the source of this 73-nucleotide non-coding RNA. NCBI's taxonomy places the organism in Archaea, Methanobacteriati, Methanobacteriota. The record is from Rfam.
AGCCCCGUAGUGUAGCGGUCAAUCAUGUGGGCCUUUGGAGCCCGCGACGGAGGUUCGAAUCCUCCCGGGGCUA